GACGAACGCUGGCGGCGUGCUUAACACAUGCAAGUCGAACGGUAAGGCCCUUCGGGGUACACGAGUGGCGAACGGGUGGAGUAACACGUGGGUGAUCUGCCCUGCACUUUGGGAUAAGCCUGGGAAACUGGGUCUAAUACCGAAUAUGACCAUGGACUUCACGGUUUGUGGUGGAAAGCUUUUGCGGUGUGGGAUGGGCCCGCGGCCUAUCAGCUUGUUGGUGGGGUAAUGGCCUACCAAGGCGACGACGGGUAGCCGGCCUGAGAGGGUGACCGGCCACACUGGGACUGAGAUACGGCCCAGACUCCUACGGGAGGCAGCAGUGGGGAAUAUUGCACAAUGGGCGCAAGCCUGAUGCAGCGACGCCGCGUGGGGGAUGACGGCCUCGGUUGUAACC
RNAcentral lists this ribosomal RNA (397 nucleotides) under uncultured bacterium. RNAcentral's name for it is "bacterial SSU rRNA". It matches the Rfam family "Bacterial small subunit ribosomal RNA", at positions 28 to 430 of the family's 1533-position model. The record is from RNAcentral.